CCCUUAGAUGUUCUGGGCCGCACGCGCGCUACACUGAUUCAUUCAACGAGUUACCUUGGCCGAGAGGCCUGGGCAAUCUUUUGAACGUGCAUCGUGAUAGGGAUAGAUUAUUGCAAUUAUUAAUCUUGAACGAGGAAUUCCUAGUAAACGCAGUUCAUCAAACUGCAUUGAUUACGUCCCUGCCCUUUGUACACACCGCCCGUCGCACCUACCGAUUGGAUGGUCCGGUGAAGCCUCGGGAUUGUGGCCAGUGCCUUUUUGGUUUUGGUUGCGAGAACUUGUCUAAACCUUAUCAUCUAGAGGAAGGUGAAGUCGUAACA
Molecule: ribosomal RNA, 320 nt
Filed under: uncultured eukaryote
Lineage: Eukaryota
Description: partial 18S ribosomal RNA
Rfam family: Eukaryotic small subunit ribosomal RNA
Source: RNAcentral